Cygnus olor (mute swan) is the source of this 378-nucleotide long non-coding RNA. RefSeq lists it as uncharacterized. NCBI's taxonomy places the organism in Eukaryota, Metazoa, Chordata, Aves, Anseriformes, Anatidae. The transcript has 3 exons. The record is from RefSeq and is a predicted model, not a curated record.
CCUACAUAAGAUUGCCUGAUCUUUUCCAGAAGCAUGGGGUUUUUGCUUUAUAUCCCUGCUCCACAAUCUGACAGAGGAAAGAUUUGAACUUUUAUCUCUGACAUUCAAAGGUUCAGAGACAAUUUAUAUGCUUUCUGAAUUACACACCUGCUUUGUCUCCUCGUGGGCCAUCUCCACUAUGAUAUGUGAAGUCACCAGAAGAAAACUUGCCCAGAAGAGACUGGAGAAGUAAUUCAAAAGAUGCCUGACUUUCUUCGUGCAUUUGAAAAUCUGUCAGACUGAACAAGGGUACACUUUGAAUAUGACACAGAGGGAAUAACCUAACAGCUUCAAAAGAUCUCGGCUAAAUGUGCAACAAAAUCUCCACAAGGAUUGGCU